GAGUCAACAUUUUGGAUUUUUUAUAAAAGUGAAAUUUUUAAGACAAAAAUAGUCUGAUGUUAAUACAUCUUUUCAUGGAAACCAUUCAUAAACAAACAUACUAAUCUGUUAAGUUACUCUCUCACAAUGUUAAAAUAAUUGUUCCCAUAAGUACACCACAUUUAAAAGUACCAUUGAAAGAAUAAUAUCUAACCGAACAAUCUACAUACUGCUGUUGGUAACAAAAUCUGAUUGUAAAAAUACAACGUAUUGUAUUUUCGUAAUUUUAUGGAAAUUUCAAGUCAAGCCUAUAGGAAAUUAUACUUUGUUGAAAUGUAAAUAUUCAGGAUUGUCUUUUAUUUACAAAAUCCUUGAUAAUUGGUACCCAGCCAAUAAUAUUUAAUUCACAUUAGCUAGAUUGCACUCUCACCACACUAUUGAUAAAGUUUCUACUAUUUGCUGGUGAGAGACAUGUAAAAUCAAGGUUAUUUGCAUAUCUGUCAAUUCGCCUAUUCAGAAUCUAAUGCAUUCUGGGUAAUAUUUUCAAAAACGUACCCCAUAACAUUGUGAUUGGUUUAAAACGUUCUAAAUAAUGGAAAUUCAACCAAUGAUGAAAAGUUAUUUUCAUUUUGGUGUAGAAACAAUGAAAUUACCCAUAGUCCUUUAAAUUCUGAAAAGACGAAUUACAAAGUACUAAAUGGAUUACUACUAAUUAGAUAACUCCAUUACUGCCCCCCCUUAAGCCAUGAAAAGUACAAUUCAUUGAUCUUUUAUCGGAAAAUGAACUGUCAAUGAUAUUUUUAAAUGCAGUGCAUGAUGUAUAUAAGUAACAACACAUAAAUUUCCCCAAAAAUGAAAUUUUGUAUAACAUAACAACAGCACAAAAUAGACAUCUAAACUUUGCAUAAAAAAAACCAAGAUGCAAAUUUUAGCUAAAAUCCAGUAACUCAAUUUUAAUUUAUUCUCAAAAUAAGGUAUUUGAUGCAAUUUUAAGUAAAUUUUCCAAGGUAGGCUGGUAGGUCGCAUGUUCAAAGGUAAGAAUUUUUAUCACAAAUGAAAGUUGUUGGUUAAUUGUUAACACCAUAUUAUGCUAAAAUAUAGAACACUAAAACUUGUAAGAUCAUUUGAGAAAUAUUAUUUAUAGAAAUAAUUCUUAAAUUUCCUUACAUGUAAUAGUGUUCUAUAUUCUCACUGAAAAUCAAUUGCACAAUUUUUAAAAAGAUUAUGAAUUCUCUCAUAACCUUAUACAUGUAUUGUAAAUGAAGAAAUUGCUUCAAAGCUUUUACUAAUGGUAAUAAUGCAACACUUUUGUGCUCACUAAUAAAAGAUUAAGCUCAAAUUCAUAAUUUAAGUAGCUAUUUUCCUUCACAAUUUUUUUGCAAUCUCUUAAUUAGAUUACCCAUUUUCAUCAGUACUCUGAGGUUUUGCAAAAAUAUAACCAAUGAAGGACGCAGAUCAAAGAACCAAGCGUUCAUUAUAAAAAGAAAAUCCACCGGUCAGGAAAAGUAUAAAUCGACUAAGAAUUACAGAAAACAAAUAUGAAAGUCUGUCCACUAGACAUACAUAAAAACAAUUUAUGAUUUGUUUUUCAGUUAAAAAAAAACCAAGAGGUCAAAUAAACAAACAAAAAAACAUCAACAAUGCUUUGAAAAUAAAUCUAAGCUUCAAUUGCUUUUGUAAUACAUGUAUAAUCUUUCAGUUUAGAAAACAACCCAUCUCCGCAUCUUCCAAUCAGGAGGAAAAUUGUUUUUUAUCUUUCAGUCUAGAAAAAAACCCAACAUUUUCUUAUUUUUCAGGCUAAAAAAAAAUAAUCUAAAUUAUAGAAAUAAACCAUGAUAUUAUUAUCAUCUGUGCUGUAUUAAACAUAGAAAUAUGUAUGAUGAGAAAAUCAAAUAUCAAUCAAACUCUGUAGCAUGAUAAAAUUUAAACCAUAAUUUCUUUAAAAUUUUCAUCGUAAACAUGAUUAACACAACAUUUUUUGAGAUGUUUGUUUUUUGGUUCUCAAAGAUAGUUUCUUUUAUGUGAAUAAUAUAAUUAAGGUUAUACUGUUGACAUGAGUUGCCUCCCCUUUCUGUUUUCUUCCCUAUACAUAAUAUAUUAUUACAGAAAAUACUACCUUUAUUAAAGGCACAAGAAAGAUAUUAGAAAAUCUUAGAAUUCAUAUUUCAAGAUUAAUUUCAUUUCACACUAAGUGUCUGCUAAAUUGUUAAUCAAAAUAUAUUUACUACACUUAAAGACCAACAUUUGUAGGUAGUUUUUAAAAAAUAAGUAUGCUAUUCUGCACUUCUGAAUAGUAUUAUCAUCCACAGUCCUAUAAAAUUACUGUUGAUUCAUAAUUAUUCAUUUAAUACCAAUUUUCUUAAGAUAACCUGGGUAUUGUUGACUAAACAAAGCACAAAAUGUAAAUAACCUUGUAUGCAGACUUUGUCAAAACCAUAUAAUCAAAUACCCAUUCAAAUAAAAUCAUUCCAACAUAUGUCAUAUUUGCAGGAGACAGUUUAUAUUCAAUAGCAUUUUUCCUCCAAAAAGAGUAAUACCAUAAACAAUAUGAACAGUUUUAUAUCAAAUUUGUUUGUUUAGGCUUUACAAACAGGAAAAAAAAAGCAUUUAAUAUUUACAGCAAUGUGUAACAUAAUAUACUAUUGAAUGUGGAGACCCUACAUCAGUGUCAAAUCCACUACUCAAAAUCCAUUAUUAUAACAUAAUAGUCACCCAAUAAAACUGCAGAUAUUUUUUUUGUUUUUGCGAUGAAUAUCUUUGUGAUUUGAAGUCCACAUCUAAUAUUAGCAGGGAUAAAUGGAAGUAUAAUGUUAAUUCUGAACUAUUUGUGAUAUUUUUACUACAUUGUAAAGCAAAAUUUUCUACAGGACAGUUUUCCUAUAACAAAAACUUUGAAUUAAAUUAUUUUUCGCAUUUUUUGUAUGCAUUUUUCUAAAAUUGUAUAAAAUAAGUAUUUAACACAAAAAAAAAAGCAUUGCAAUAAUAUCUGAAUUAACAGUAUUUUUAUUUAUCCAAUCAUUGCCCCUUUUAAAAUGACAAUACAUUUCACUUCGAACAAGACAAAAUACACAAAAUUGAAGGUAUGUUGAAGAAGAGAUUUCUAUGUAAAAACAAAGAACCAUGCACUCAUGAGCUUGACAAUAUUAAAAACUUAAUAAACCUACUUUUAAUUCCUCACUCACCUCAAAAAUACUCAAUCUCAAAAUCAAGUUCAAAGGAAAAUCAACUACAGUAAACCAACUGAUUUUUGCGAAUGAUUUAUUUUUUUGCGACUGUUGCUUUUAGGAAAACAACGUCUAUAUAAAUUGUUUUGAAUACAAUAAAUGUAUGUCUUCCAUUGUGUAAAUAUAACAACAAAAAGUUGAAAAUCUAGAAAAUAAAAAUAUAGUUUCCCCUAAAAGAAAGUUG
This 3387-nucleotide long non-coding RNA is filed under the name Mytilus galloprovincialis (Mediterranean mussel). The record is from RNAcentral. Lineage: Eukaryota; Metazoa; Mollusca; Bivalvia; Mytilida; Mytilidae.